GGGUGCGCCGCCCGAGACGGGCGAGUUCGAAAUGCAAUCCAGGCCACGGAUCUGCAGCGAAGCGCACGCACCGCAGAAGAGGGCCUUGCUACGGAGCACGAGGCUGUAACCGACGUGUGUGUGUGUGUGCGCGUGUGUGCGUGUGCGCGCCCAAAGUGCUGUGCACCAGACACGCUGGUGUUUGUCAUCUGGCCGGCGGUGUGAGAGGCUGGGCGGUCGGUGCUCUCGGACCACAAUACAACCUAGCAGGGCUUCUGGAAUCCGCACCUCCGGGGGCGUCGAGGGAACUUCAUCCACUUCUCCCAUGAGUGCGGCUCGGCGUGGCAGUCCCUCAAGUGUCACUUAGAUGGGUGGCGCUGUGACACUCCGGGGAGGGUGGGGAGCGAGCAGAAGGGAGGCACCCCAGUCUUUCUUUGAGGCCCUCAGGAAGAGGGGUGAAGGGUGCUUCUUGGACCUUGGCGUGAGUCUGGGACAUAAGCUGCCACCCCUUUCAUUUAAGCUAUGGCUUAGUUUCAGUACUGCUGGCUUCAAAGGAAACCCUUUUUUGCAGGUUUUGUUUUGGGGGGUGGGGUUCCGUUAACUUUCACUACAAUAUUCCUCUUAAGUGGAGUCACCGUGUAAAACAAUAGUUUCCCCUCAUGGUGACUAUCAGAGGCGAAACUGUCCGUGGCCUGGUAAGCCACUGGUUAGACUGCGCUUUUCUGGCCCAGGGCAGGCUCUUUCCCCCAUGAGCUCUUGCUUGGGAGCGUCCAGGGUGCCGGGAAGGAGAGCCGUGAGAGGAGAGGGAGUGUGGUGGGAAACUCCCUUCUAGCCACCGAAAACAGGGUUCAAAGCUAUCGGUGUGUCCUUAGAGCUGUUCUCAUGGAUGGAGGAGGGACUGUUGGGUUAAACACCGUGACCCGAUGGGAAUUUAGGUUAUCACGGGUUUCCAAACACUGCACAGCGUUAGGGAAACAGCGAGAGGAAGCGAACCUUGCGUCCCAGUGCAGUUCUGACGCUAGGCCUGUGGACCGACCACAGAGGAGUACCUUUGCAGAGACGCUUGAGAAGUGGCAGGCUCGUAGUGUCAGGGCCUCCAGCUUGAAGUGUCUGGUUUUGUUUUCAUUUCUUCCAUGGGCAAGAAGGAGAGAGACAACAUUCUCAACUUGGGCCCGACGCGAAGACUCACCCCGCGGUCAGCCUGCCCUGGAUCUGGGCCCGCGCUGGCCUGGCCAACCGCCCCUGUGACAGUGCCUUGCAGAGUAGGGCAUCUUACUGCUGAUGCAUGGCUGGCCCUCCAGCCUAACACGCAUGCCCUAACCGAGCUGCGUCCUGAAGCGGCACGGAGCCUGGCCACAGCCACGAUGGUGAGCCAUGCAUUUGUGCGCAUCGGCAUCCUUUAGUGUACUUCGUGCUUAAAAUGAUGCACCUGAGCAUCGUGGUAAUUAUCAAAGCUGGGGACCUGGACCAUGGACAGGCUCCAGUAAAGUGCAUGUCACCCGGCGUCAUGAAAUGCUGCUCACUGGAGAAAGACCCGAAGGACUUUCAGGGGGACAAGAAGGCACCUAAUGUGGAAAAGCCUUCAUUUGCCCAGUGGAAGAAGGUUUUGCGUGAAACUCUAUUUGGACCACUCUGAUUUCUGUAUUUCGGAACAUUGUCCAGACAGCAGCGUGGCUCCCACGUUGGCCGCUCAGGGAAAUGAGCCCUCGACAAAGCCUCCCAGUACUGCUCGCCCUCUGGCCACUCCGACACACCCAGCCCGCGGGAUCAGUCUGCAGGGAAAUUCAAGCCAUAAUUAGACUCACAGGGCGAGGGCACAGUUCUUACAGAAAGUACUAACUGCACAUGUGCACACGGCUGUGGCUGGUCUACAGUUCCAACACACACACGCACACCACACACCACACAUCACACCACACAUCACACACGCACACA
This is a long non-coding RNA of Tupaia belangeri chinensis (Chinese tree shrew), 1914 nucleotides long. RefSeq lists it as uncharacterized. The transcript has 3 exons. NCBI's taxonomy places the organism in Eukaryota, Metazoa, Chordata, Mammalia, Scandentia, Tupaiidae. The record is from RefSeq and is a predicted model, not a curated record.